Molecule: ribosomal RNA, 588 nt
Filed under: uncultured bacterium
Lineage: Bacteria
Description: bacterial SSU rRNA
Rfam family: Bacterial small subunit ribosomal RNA
Source: RNAcentral
GAACGAAGCAUGCCGGAGGAAGUUUUCGGAUGGAAUCCGGGAUGACUGAGUGGCGGACGGGUGAGUAACGCGUGGGUAACCUGCCCUGUACAGGGGGACAACAGUUAGAAAUGACUGCUAAUACCGCAUAAGCGCACAGGACCGCAUGGUCCGGUGUGAAAAACUCCGGUGGUACAGGAUGGACCCGCGUCUGAUUAGGUAGUUGGCGGGGUAACGGCCCACCAAGCCGACGAUCAGUAGCCGACCUGAGAGGGUGACCGGCCACAUUGGGACUGAGACACGGCCCAAACUCCUACGGGAGGCAGCAGUGGGGAAUAUUGCACAAUGGGGGGAACCCUGAUGCAGCGACGCCGCGUGAGUGAAGAAGUAUUUCGGUAUGUAAAGCUCUAUCAGCAGGGAAGAAAAUGACGGUACCUGACUAAGAAGCCCCGGCUAACUACGUGCCAGCAGCCGCGGUAAUACGUAGGGGGCAAGCGUUAUCCGGAUUUACUGGGUGUAAAGGGAGCGUAGACGGCAGAGCAAGUCUGAAGUGAAAGCCCGCGGCCCAACUGCGGGACUGCUUUGGAAACUGCCCGGCUAGAGUGCUGG